RNAcentral lists this ribosomal RNA (417 nucleotides) under uncultured bacterium. Its description in RNAcentral is "bacterial SSU rRNA". It matches the Rfam family "Bacterial small subunit ribosomal RNA", at positions 362 to 776 of the family's 1533-position model. The record is from RNAcentral.
UAUUGGUCAAUGGGCGGGAGCCUGAACCAGCCAAGUCGCGUGAGGGAUUAAGGCCCUACGGGUCGUAAACCUCUUUUGCCGGGGAGCAGGGCGGCGGACGUGUCCGCCGUUUGUGAGUACCCGGAGAAAAAGUAUCGGCUAGCUCAGUGCCAGCAGCCGCGGUAAUACGGAGGAUGAGAGCGUUAUGCGGAUUUAUUGGGUUUAAAGGGUGCGUAGGCGGGCUUUUAAGUCAGCGGUAAAAAUACGGGGCUCAACCCCGUCCGGCCGUUGAAACUGGGGGCCUUGAGUGGGCGAGAAGAAGGCGGAAUGCGUGGUGUAGCGGUGAAAUGCAUAGAUAUCACGCAGAACCCCGAUUGCGAAGGCAGCCUUCCGGCGCCCUACUGACGCUGAGGCACGAAAGUGCGGGGGUCGAACAGG